This 2117-nucleotide ribosomal RNA is filed under the name Hemerobius sp. N56. RNAcentral's name for it is "SSU rRNA". It matches the Rfam family "Eukaryotic small subunit ribosomal RNA". The record is from RNAcentral. Lineage: Eukaryota; Metazoa; Arthropoda; Insecta; Neuroptera; Hemerobiidae.
UACCUCAUAUGCUUGUCUCAAAGAUUAAGCCAUGCAUGUCUCAGUACAAGCCAUAUUAAGGUGAAACCGCGAAAGGCUCAUUAUAUCAGUUAUGGUUCCUUAGAUCGUACACACAUUUACUUGGAUAACUGUGGUAAUUCUAGAGCUAAUACAUGCAAACAGAAUUCCAACCAGAGAUGGAAGGAAUGCUUUUAUUAGAUCAAAACCAAUCGAUAUUUGCAUGUCUGUCAAUUUAUUGGUAGGCAUGUUUUACAGUAUCGUUUAUUUUGGUGACUCUGAAUAACUUUAAGCUGAUCGCACGGUCAUGUACCGGCGACGCAUCUUUCAAAUGUCUGCCUUAUCAACUGUCGAUGGUAGGUUUUGCGCCUACCAUGGUUGUAACGGGUAACGGGGAAUCAGGGUUCGAUUCCGGAGAGGGAGCCUGAGAAACGGCUACCACAUCCAAGGAAGGCAGCAGGCGCGCAAAUUACCCACUCCCGGCACGGGGAGGUAGUGACGAAAAAUAACGAUACGGGACUCAUCCGAGGCCCCGUAAUCGGAAUGAGUACACUUUAAAUCCUUUAACGAGGACCAAUUGGAGGGCAAGUCUGGUGCCAGCAGCCGCGGUAAUUCCAGCUCCAAUAGCGUAUAUUAAAGUUGUUGCGGUUAAAAAGCUCGUAGUCGAAUUUGUGUCCCACACUGUCGGUUCACCGCUCGCGGUGCUAACUGGCAUGUUAUGUGGGACGUCCUACCGGUGGGUGGUGUGCAGUAUGCGUAUUUAGUGUUGUCUUGAUCUCACUUGUAUGUGUGCUGCACCGGUAAGUGCUUAGCCGUGAAGAACGGCGGCAGCCCCCAAUUACAAUCCCGUCGCGGUCCUCUUAAUUGAGUGUCGAGGUGGGCCGGUACGUUUACUUUGAACAAAUUAGAGUGCUUAAAGCAGGCUAAAAUUUUGCCUAAAUAUUGUGUGCAUGGAAUAAUGGAAUAGGACCUCGGUUCUAUUUUGUUGGUUUUCGGAACUCCGAGGUAAUGAUUAAUACGGACAGAUGGGGGCAUUCGUAUUGCGACGUUAGAGGUGAAAUUCUUGGAUCGUCGCAAGACGGACAGAAGCGAAAGCAUUUGCCAAAAAUGUUUUGAUUGAUCAAGAACGAAAGUUAGAGGUUCGAAGGCGAUCAGAUACCGCCCUAGUUCUAACCAUAAACGAUGCCAGCUAGCGAUCCGCCGAAGUUCCUCCGAUGACUCGGCGGGCAGCUUCCGGGAAACCAAAGCGUUUGGGUUCCGGGGGAAGUAUGGUUGCAAAGCUGAAACUUAAAGGAAUUGACGGAAGGGCACCACCAGGAGUGGAGCCUGCGGCUUAAUUUGACUCAACACGGGAAACCUCACCAGGCCCAGACACCGGAAGGAUUGACAGAUUGAGAGCUCUUUCUUGAUUCGGUGGGUGGUGGUGCAUGGCCGUUCUUAGUUGGUGGAGCGAUUUGUCUGGUUAAUUCCGAUAACGAACGAGACUCUAGCCUGCUAAAUAGACGUACUUAACCGGCAUCUCAAGGCCCAUCGGCUGUUUGUUUCGUUUUGUCAUUGUCAGUAUAUUUCAGAUCUUUUGUGUUCACUUUAGCAUGUAUGCCUCUGCAAAUGUUGCCUCGGUGGCUUUGUAGUUGUGUAUGUGUGGUGGCGCAUUGUAUGUUUAUACGGGUGCAAUCGGACUGCAGUUUUUUGAUGUGGUUUUUACUGCCGGCGUACACAUAAUUCUUCUUAGAGGGACAGGCGGCUCUAGCCGCACGAGAUUGAGCAAUAACAGGUCUGUGAUGCCCUUAGAUGUUCUGGGCCGCACGCGCGCUACACUGAAGGAAUCAGCGUGUCCUCCCUGGCCGAAAGGUCCGGGUAACCCGCUGAACCUCCUUCGUGCUAGGGAUUGGGGCUUGCAAUUGUUCCCCAUGAACGAGGAAUUCCCAGUAAGCGCGAGUCAUAAGCUCGCGUUGAUUACGUCCCUGCCCUUUGUACACACCGCCCGUCGCUACUACCGAUUGAAUGAUUUAGUGAGGUCUUCGGACUGGUACGCGGGAACGUUUCUGACAUUGCCGAUGUUGCUGGGAAGAUGACCAAACUUGAUCAUUUAGAGGAAGUAAAAGUCGUAACAAGGUUUC